This 411-nucleotide ribosomal RNA is filed under the name uncultured bacterium. Its description in RNAcentral is "bacterial SSU rRNA". It matches the Rfam family "Bacterial small subunit ribosomal RNA", at positions 9 to 412 of the family's 1533-position model. The record is from RNAcentral.
GAGUUUGAUCGUGGCUCAGGACGAACGCUGGCGGCGUGCCUAACACAUGCAAGUCGAACGGAGUUGAAAGGAGCUUGCUUUUUUCAACUUAGUGGCGGACGGGUGAGUAACGCGUGAGUAACCUGCCUUUCAGAGGGGGAUAACGUUCUGAAAAGAACGCUAAUACCGCAUAAGAUUGUAGUUUCGCAUGGGACAGCAAUCAAAGGAGCAAUCCGCUGAAAGAUGGACUCGCGUCCGAUUAGAUAGUUGGCGGGGUAACGGCCCACCAAGUCGACGAUCGGUAGCCGGACUGAGAGGUUGAUCGGCCACAUUGGGACUGAGACACGGCCCAGACUCCUACGGGAGGCAGCAGUGAGGGAUAUUGGGCAAUGGGGGGAAACCCUGACCCAGCAACGCCGCGUGAGGGAUGAC